UUGGAGGGCAAGUCUGGUGCCAGCAGCCGCGGUAAUUCCAGCUCCAAUAGCGUAUAUUAAAGUUGCUGCAGUUAAAAAGCUCGUAGUUGAAUUUCGGGACCAUCAUGUCGGUCGUGCCUCGGUACGUACUGGUAUUGUUGGUUUCUCCCUUCUGACGAACCAUGAUGUCAUUUAUUUGGUGUUGUGGGGAAUCAGGACUGUUACUUUGAAAAAAUUAGAGUGUUUAAAGCAGGCUCACGCUUGAAUACAUUAGCAUGGAAUAAUGAAAUAGGACGUUUGAUUCUAUUUUGUUGGUUUCUAGGAUCGACGUAAUGAUUAAUAGGGAUAGUUGGGGGCAUUAGUAUUCAAUUGUCAGAGGUGAAAUUCUUGGAUUUAUUGAAGACUAACUACUGCGAAAGCAUUUGCCAAGGAUGUUUUCAUUAAUCAAGAACGAAAGUUAGGGGAUCGAAGACGAUCAGAUACCGUCGUAGUCUUAACCAUAAACUAUGCCGACUAGGGAUCGGAUGAUGUUAAUUUUUAAUGACUCGUUCGGC
RNAcentral lists this ribosomal RNA (533 nucleotides) under uncultured Glomeraceae. RNAcentral describes it as "SSU rRNA". It matches the Rfam family "Eukaryotic small subunit ribosomal RNA", at positions 548 to 1084 of the family's 1831-position model. The record is from RNAcentral. Lineage: Eukaryota; Fungi; Glomeromycota; Glomeromycetes; Glomerales; Glomeraceae.